GCGGGAAUAGCUUAGUGGCAGAGCAUCAUUCUGCCAAUGGUUAGAGCACGCACUUAUUAUUUAUUUUGACAAACACGCUUCAUAUAAAUAGUAAGUGUGGAGACACGAGUUCGAAUCUUGUUUCCCGCU
This 129-nucleotide transfer RNA is filed under the name Bacteroidales bacterium. RNAcentral describes it as "tRNA-OTHER". It matches the Rfam family "tRNA". Rfam says of the family: Transfer RNA (tRNA) molecules are approximately 80 nucleotides in length. The record is from RNAcentral. Lineage: Bacteria; Pseudomonadati; Bacteroidota; Bacteroidia; Bacteroidales.